Molecule: non-coding RNA, 29 nt
Filed under: Mus musculus (house mouse)
Lineage: Eukaryota; Metazoa; Chordata; Mammalia; Rodentia; Muridae
Source: RNAcentral
UAUGUCUAUGAGGUGUCAAUGCCCUGGUA